UCUUUCUUAGCACUGUAGAUGUGCGUCAGUCUCAUAAUCUGAAGGCCCUGAGUUUGAGCCUCAGAGACGGCA
This 72-nucleotide transfer RNA is filed under the name Loxodonta africana (African savanna elephant). It matches the Rfam family "tRNA". Rfam says of the family: Transfer RNA (tRNA) molecules are approximately 80 nucleotides in length. Their secondary structure includes four short double-helical elements and three loops (D, anti-codon, and T loops). Lineage: Eukaryota; Metazoa; Chordata; Mammalia; Proboscidea; Elephantidae. The record is from Rfam by way of RNAcentral.